UACGUAGGGUGCAAGCGUUAAUCGGAAUUACUGGGCGUAAAGCGUGCGUAGGCGGUCUGUCGCGUCUGCUGUGAAAACUCGGGGCUUAACCCCGGGCCUGCAGUGGGUACGGGCAGACUAGAGUGCGGUAGGGGAGACUGGAAUUCCUGGUGUAGCGGUGAAAUGCGCAGAUAUCAGGAGGAACACCGGUGGCGAAGGCGGGUCUCUGGGCCGUAACUGACGCUGAGGAGCGAAAGCAUGGGGAGCGAACAGG
This 253-nucleotide ribosomal RNA is filed under the name uncultured bacterium. Its description in RNAcentral is "partial 16S ribosomal RNA". It matches the Rfam family "Bacterial small subunit ribosomal RNA", at positions 524 to 776 of the family's 1533-position model. The record is from RNAcentral.